RNAcentral lists this ribosomal RNA (429 nucleotides) under Chloroflexota bacterium. RNAcentral describes it as "Chloroflexi bacterium partial 16S ribosomal RNA". It matches the Rfam family "Bacterial small subunit ribosomal RNA", at positions 355 to 776 of the family's 1533-position model. The record is from RNAcentral. Lineage: Bacteria; Bacillati; Chloroflexota.
UGGGGAAUAUUGCACAAUGGGCGCAAGCCUGAUGCAGCCAUGCCGCGUGUAUGAAGAAGGCCUUCGGGUUGUAAAGUACUUUCAGUCGGGAGGAAGGUGGUAAGGUUAAUAACCUUAUCAAUUGACGUUACCGACAGAAGAAGCACCGGCUAACUCCGUGCCAGCAGCCGCGGUAAUACGGAGGGUGCAAGCGUUAAUCGGAAUUACUGGGCGUAAAGCGCACGCAGGCGGUCUGUCAAGUCGGAUGUGAAAUCCCCGGGCUCAACCUGGGAACUGCAUUCGAAACUGGCAGGCUAGAGUCUUGUAGAGGGGGGGAGAAUUCCAGGUGUAGCGGUGAAAUGCGUAGAGAUCUGGAGGAAUACCGGUGGCGAAGGCGGCCCCCUGGACAAAGACUGACGCUCAGGUGCGAAAGCGUGGGGAGCAAACAGG